AGCGAACGCUGGCGGCAGGCCUAACACAUGCAAGUCGAACGAAACCUUCGGGUUUAGUGGCGGACGGGUGAGUAACACGUGGGAACGUGCCUUUUGGUUCGGAACAACUCAGGGAAACUUGAGCUAAUACCGGAUGUGCCCUUCGGGGGAAAGAUUUAUCGCCAUUAGAGCGGCCCGCGUAGGAUUAGCUAGUUGGUGGG
RNAcentral lists this ribosomal RNA (200 nucleotides) under uncultured bacterium. Its description in RNAcentral is "partial 16S ribosomal RNA". It matches the Rfam family "Bacterial small subunit ribosomal RNA", at positions 29 to 256 of the family's 1533-position model. The record is from RNAcentral.